AUGAGCUACCAGCAGGUCCCUCCGCAGGAGUCCUACCCGCCGCCAGGGUAUUCGCCGGUGUACCCGCCGCCGGCCGGCGGGCAGCAGGGCCCGUACUACCCGCCGCAGCAGCAGCAGCCGCCGCCGCCUCCGGGGUACCAGGGAUACUUCAGCCAGGGCCAGCCACAGCAGCCACCGCCCUACUACUACCCGCCCCCGCCGCCGCACAGUGGCCAUCACCACCACGGCCACCACCACCAUGACCACCACGCCGAGGACCACCACCACCACCAUGGUCAUCAUCACCACCACCACCACAACGACGAUGACUGCUGCCUUGGCUUCCUCAAAGGAUGGUUGGCCGCUCUAUGCUGCUGCUGCUGUCUGGAGGAGUGCUGCUGCUGUUUCUGGUAA
This 393-nucleotide ribosomal RNA is filed under the name Triticum aestivum (bread wheat). RNAcentral's name for it is "partial small subunit ribosomal RNA". Lineage: Eukaryota; Viridiplantae; Streptophyta; Magnoliopsida; Poales; Poaceae. The record is from RNAcentral.